RNAcentral lists this ribosomal RNA (506 nucleotides) under uncultured bacterium. RNAcentral describes it as "partial 16S ribosomal RNA". It matches the Rfam family "Bacterial small subunit ribosomal RNA", at positions 30 to 523 of the family's 1533-position model. The record is from RNAcentral.
AUUGAACGCUGGCGGCAGGCCUAACACAUGCAAGUCGAACGGUAACAGGAAACAGCUUGCUGUUUCGCUGACGAGUGGCGGACGGGUGAGUAAUGUCUGGGAAACUGCCUGAUGGAGGGGGAUAACUACUGGAAACGGUAGCUAAUACCGCAUAACGUCGCAAGACCAAAGAGGGGGACCUUCGGGCCUCUUGCCAUCGGAUGUGCCCAGAUGGGAUUAGCUAGUAGGUGGGGUAACGGCUCACCUAGGCGACGAUCCCUAGCUGGUCUGAGAGGAUGACCAGCAACACUGGAACUGAGACACGGUCCAGACUCCUACGGGAGGCAGCAGUGGGGAAUAUUGCACAAUGGGCGCAAGCCUGAUGCAGCCAUGUCGCGUGUAUAAAGAAGGCCUUCGGGUUGUAAAGUGCUUUCAGCGGGGAGGAAGGGAGUAAAGUUAAUACCUUUGCUCAUUGACGUUACCCGCAGAAGAAGCACCGGCUAACUCCGUGCCAGCCGCCGCCGUAA